This is a long non-coding RNA of Lolium rigidum, 142 nucleotides long. RefSeq lists it as uncharacterized. Lineage: Eukaryota; Viridiplantae; Streptophyta; Magnoliopsida; Poales; Poaceae. The transcript is spliced from 3 exons. The record is from RefSeq and is a predicted model, not a curated record.
ACGACCUUCCCAAGCAGCUCCACACUCCACGCAUUCUGAUCGCUUUGGGAGCCAUUUCAGAUGCCACGAGGUUCUCUGCAUCUCCAGAGGUCAACCGAGUUGUGCUGGUCUGGCACAUGCACGAACCAUCCCAAAAGUUCAG